AAUGAACGUUGGCGGCGUGGAUUAGGCAUGCAAGUCGAGCGAGAAACUUUAGCUUGCUAGAGUGGACAGCGGCGAAAGGGAGAGUAAUGCGUAGAAAUCUACCUUGGGGUCUGGGAUAGCGUUGGGAAACUGGCGGUAAUACCGGAUGACGUCUUCGGACCAAAGAAUUUCGCCCUGAGAUGAGUCUACGUCCUAUUAGCUAGUUGGUGGGGUAAUGGCCCACCAAGGCGACGAUGGGUAGCGGGUGUGAGAGCAUGAUCCGCCUCACUGGGACUGAGACACUGCCCAGACAUCUACGGAUGGCUGCAGUCGAGAAUCUUUGUCAAUGGACGAAAGUCUGAACAAGCGACGCCGCGUGCGGGAUGAAGGCCUUCGGGUUGUAAACCGCUGUCAGAGGGAAGGAAAUUUUGACUGAACCUCAGAGGAAGGACGGGCUAAGUUCG
This 443-nucleotide ribosomal RNA is filed under the name uncultured Planctomycetaceae bacterium. Its description in RNAcentral is "bacterial SSU rRNA". It matches the Rfam family "Bacterial small subunit ribosomal RNA", at positions 29 to 505 of the family's 1533-position model. The record is from RNAcentral. Lineage: Bacteria; Pseudomonadati; Planctomycetota; Planctomycetia; Planctomycetales; Planctomycetaceae.